GACGAACGCUGGCGGCGUGCUUAACACAUGCAAGUCGAACGGAAAGGCCCUGCUUGCAGGGUACUCGAGUGGCGAACGGGUGAGUAACACGUGGGUGAUCUGCCCUGCACUUCGGGAUAAGCCUGGGAAACUGGGUCUAAUACCGGAUAGGAGCCAUUUUUAGUGUGAUGGUUGGAAAGUUUUUUCGGUGUAGGAUGAGCUCGCGGCCUAUCAGCUUGUUGGUGGGGUAAUGGCCUACCAAGGCGGCGACGGGUAGCCGGCCUGAGAGGGUGGACGGCCACAUUGGGACUGAGAUACGGCCCAGACUCCUACGGGAGGGAGCAGUGGGGAAUAUUGCAAAAUGGGCGCAAGCCUGAUGCAGCGACGCCGCGUGGGGGAUGACGGCCUUCGGGUUGUAAACUCCUUUCGCUAGGGACGAAGCUUUUUGUGACGGUACCUAGAUAAGAAGCACCGGCUAACUACGUG
Molecule: ribosomal RNA, 465 nt
Filed under: uncultured bacterium
Lineage: Bacteria
Description: partial 16S ribosomal RNA
Rfam family: Bacterial small subunit ribosomal RNA
Source: RNAcentral